RNAcentral lists this long non-coding RNA (222 nucleotides) under Trifolium pratense (red clover). RNAcentral's name for it is "long non-coding RNA (TPRA_LNC011967)". The record is from RNAcentral. Lineage: Eukaryota; Viridiplantae; Streptophyta; Magnoliopsida; Fabales; Fabaceae.
GGACCAAUCCCACCGCCCACUUGCGGGGGCCCCACUUGUGAGGUAACAAUAUAUGUUUGUUACUUAUUGUGUAGAUGAAAAACGUUGGUCAAAUGAAUUUGUUAACAUCGCAUUACCAUGUUUUCUCCUUCGUUGUUUGAUUUUGCUGUUGUCUUUACAUUUAUCUCUGAAUGUUCUUUUCAUCAGUUUUCAAACCGAGGUCAAGUUAUCUGAUUGGCUUAC